RNAcentral lists this non-coding RNA (117 nucleotides) under Brevibacillus borstelensis. RNAcentral's name for it is "SAM-I sequence". It matches the Rfam family "SAM riboswitch aptamer (S box leader)". Rfam says of the family: The SAM riboswitch is found upstream of a number of genes which code for proteins involved in methionine or cysteine biosynthesis in Gram-positive bacteria. The SAM riboswitch acts at the level of transcription termination control. Lineage: Bacteria; Bacillati; Bacillota; Bacilli; Caryophanales; Paenibacillaceae. The record is from RNAcentral. RNAcentral also lists the same sequence under 1 other name.
UUCUUAUCCAGAGCGGCGGAGGGACAGGCCCUAUGAAGCCCGGCAACCGGCUCAUCGAUUCUGAUGGGUGGCGCGGUGCCAAUUCCUACAAGAUUGUAGAAUCUUGACAGAUGAGAA